RNAcentral lists this ribosomal RNA (868 nucleotides) under uncultured bacterium. RNAcentral's name for it is "bacterial SSU rRNA". It matches the Rfam family "Bacterial small subunit ribosomal RNA", at positions 51 to 916 of the family's 1533-position model. The record is from RNAcentral. RNAcentral also lists the same sequence under 1 other name.
ACACAUGCAAGUCGAACGAAGCUUGACGGAUGAUUUCUUCGGAAUGAAACUGAUAUGACUUAGUGGCGGACGGGUGAGUAACACGUGAGCAACCUGCCUUUCAGAGGGGGAUAACGGCUGGAAACGGUCGCUAAUACCGCAUGAUGUGUUCGGAUGGCAUCAUCUGAACAUCAAAGAUUUAUCGCCGAAAGAUGGGCUCGCGUCUGAUUAGAUAGUUGGUGGGGUAACGGCCUACCAAGUCAACGAUCAGUAGCCGGACUGAGAGGUUGAACGGCCACAUUGGGACUGAGAUACGGCCCAGACUCCUACGGGAGGCAGCAGUGGGGAAUAUUGCACAAUGGGGGAAACCCUGAUGCAGCAACGCCGCGUGAAGGAUGACGGUUUUCGGAUUGUAAGCUUCUUUUCUUAGUGACGAAGACAGUGACGGUAGCUAAGGAAUAAGCAUCGGCUAACUACGUGCCAGCAGCCGCGGUAAUACGUAGGAUGCAAGCGUUAUCCGGAUUUACUGGGUGUAAAGGGAGCGCAGGCGGGACUGCAAGUUGGAUGUGAAAUACCGUGGCUUAACCACGGAACUGCAUCCAAAACUGUAGUUCUUGAGUGAAGUAGAGGCAAGCGGAAUUCCGAGUGUAGCGGUGAAAUGCGUAGAUAUUCGGAGGAACACCAGUGGCGAAGGCGGCUUGCUGGGCUUUAACUGACGCUGAGGCUCGAAAGUGUGGGGAGCAAACAGGAUUAGAUACCCUGGUAGUCCACACUGUAAACGAUGAUAGCUAGGUGUGGGGGGUCUGACCCCUUCCGUGCCGGAGUUAACGCAAUAAGCUAUCCACCUGGGGAGUACGACCGCAAGGUUGCAACUCAAAUGAAUUGACGG